GAUGAACGCUGGCGGCGUGCCUAAUACAUGCAAGUCGAGCGAAUGGAUUAAGAGCUUGCUCUUAUGAAGUUAGCGGCGGACGGGUGAGUAACACGUGGGUAACCUGCCCAUAAGACUGGGAUAACUCCGGGAAACCGGGGCUAAUACCGGAUAACAUUUUGAACCGCAUGGUUUGAAAUUGAAAGGCGGCUUCGGCUGUCACUUAUGGAUGGACCCGCGUCGCAUUAGCUAGUUGGUGAGGGAACGGCUCACCAAGGCAACGAUGCGUAGCCGACCUGGGAGGGUGAUCGGCCACACUGGGACUGAGACACGGCCCAGACUCCUACGGGAGGCAGCAGUAGGGAAUCUUCCGCAAUGGACGAAAGUCUGACGGAGCAACGCCGCGUGAGUGAUGAAGGCUUUCGGGUCGUAAAACUCUGUUGUUAGGGAAGAACAAGUGCUAGUUGAACAAGCUGGCACCUUGACGGUACCUAACCAGAAAGCCACGGCUAACUACGUGCCAGCCGCCGCGGUAA
Molecule: ribosomal RNA, 515 nt
Filed under: uncultured bacterium
Lineage: Bacteria
Description: partial 16S ribosomal RNA
Rfam family: Bacterial small subunit ribosomal RNA
Source: RNAcentral